This 58-nucleotide transfer RNA is filed under the name Podocnemis unifilis (yellow-spotted Amazon River turtle). RNAcentral describes it as "partial transfer RNA-Ser". The record is from RNAcentral. Lineage: Eukaryota; Metazoa; Chordata; Testudines; Podocnemididae.
GAAAACCGUGGAGGUAUAUUACAGAAACUGCUAAUUUCCAUAUCCAGAGCCAAUAACU